UUUUUUGGUGCCCCGGAAUUGGGCCGCCAACCAGCCUUGGUGUUAACUCUAUUCAUAUUCUUGAUCGUGCACAUUCAGGUCCCAAGACCCCGCCCAGAUGGUACCUGCUAUUCGGAUAACCGUAGUAAUUCUAGAGCUAAUACGUGCAACAAACCCCGACUUCUGGAAGGGAUGCAUUUAUUAGAUAAAAGGUCAACGCGGGCUCUGCCCGUUGCUCUGAUGAUUCAUGAUAACUCGACGGAUCGCACGGCCUUUGCGCCGGCGACGCAUCAUUCAAAUUUCUGCCCUAUCAACUUUCGAUGGUAGGGAUAGUGCGCCUACCAUGGCUGGUGACGGGUCGACGGAGAAUUAGUGGUUCGAUUCCGGAGAGGGAGCCUGAGAAACGGCUACCACAUCCAAGGAAGGCAUCAGGCCCGCAAUUUACCCAAUCCUGACACGGGGAGGUUGUGACAAUAAAUAACAAUACCGGGCUCAUUGACUCUGGUAAUUGAAAUGAGUACCAUCUAAGUCCCUUAGCGAUGAUCACUUGGAGGGCUACUCUGGUGUCCUUACCAAUAAACCGUUGUCCCCAUUUAUUGUGCGUACCCCCGAUCUCUUGCUUUUGUCUUUCAAUCUUGCCUGUCCCACCCCCCGCGCAUAAUUCUAAAGUUCAUUUAACAGCUGGCAAGGCAUUGGGUGCCAAACCCAUCCACACUCUUUAACUUCCUUUUUCGUUUUUCGGGUGAAUAGCACCAUCGCAAUGUGUUUAUCCAUGGAACCCUUUUCUUUUGCUCCCCCCACCGCCCUGUUUUCCCAAUGCCCUUCCAGGCUUAUCCAUGUUUUACACAUAAAACAGAGAAACAAAUACCGCCCCCCUUUUCGCUCGCGCCUUUGAUUCGUUUUAACCUUCUCCCUUAAUACCUUCUGAGUUAACCCACGUUUUCUCACCCCGCUAUGAAACACAAAUGGAGAAAGUUUUUCCCCGCUCUUCUUUCCUUUCCUUUGCCUAGCUCCCCCUCACCCACGUUUCUUUCUCCAGAUUUUUUUCCCCCAUUUGACACCCCUUUUCCCCUCCUAUGGUUGUAAGACCUCCUGUGGGGGGCGAUGUUUUGUCAACUCCUUUUACAAAGAAACUUGUUAAACAAAAAAAAUCCCAUGUCAUCUGGAUGUGUUUCUUGCGCCCUUUUUUUUUACCCCGCCCCCUACACGUAGAAAAUUUCCACCUGGUGAUGAGCACUCCAGCCUUCUGUGUUUCUAUUACCUUCUUAUACCGUGAUAAUAAUUUCUAACGCCUCCCCGGCCUGCACUCACACGUGGGCGAUCAUUCACCACCAUACAAGUGGUUUUAUGUACGCUCGCUUCUGUGUGUCUCUCUAUUUUUUCUUCCCGUUGCCUUGUUAUCGAGCAUAUGUUAACACCUAGUGUUUUCCUAGACGCGCGGAAUGGUAUUGUUAACACACCGCACAUUGUUCUUGUACCCGGUCCUUCUCCAUAGUAUCCCCCCUCUCUUGUGUAUUUUAGUCUAUAUUUCGUUUCUCCGUUGAAUAUGAGCUAGAUACAAUAGAUAGUAGUAAUAUCUCUAUUCUUGUAUCUCCACAUGAUAAGCUUCCCUCUCCAUAAAUAGAGAGAUCCCACCUCUGAUUCUCAUUCUGUUUACGCGAUUGUUAUUAUUAUAGAUAUAGUGAGCGUGCUGCUCCCACUGCAUCGUUAUUCUCUAUCACAGCUACCGCGUUUUGUGAUCUCUUCAACAACAGAACACCGCACUAUAUGUUACUUGCUUCUAUUCUCUCACUAAUAUAGUUAGUUUUAUCUCGCUCCUCGGAUAUAAGAAGAAGUAUUACUGUUCUCGCCCUCUUAAUCUCUACCUCCGCGACUGUACUCAUUCUCUCUCACUCUCGUCCUCUUGCUUCUGAAUAGAGAAGAUAACAUUUAUGUUUCGUGUUUGUGGUUAACUAACUACUGAUCUGUAUGUCUGUGUUCUUGUAUCUAAAUUGUGCUCACCAUAUCACAGAUAUGUAUGUUAGUUGGUUCUUCACCAAUAUAACUAUAUAUACCCGUCCUAUCUGUUCCGAUUCUUCUCUGUGUUAGAAGAUGAUAUCUGAUGGCGAACAGA
This 2092-nucleotide ribosomal RNA is filed under the name Salicornia fruticosa. Its description in RNAcentral is "partial small subunit ribosomal RNA". The stretch from base 1 to 544 matches the Rfam family "Eukaryotic small subunit ribosomal RNA", at positions 56 to 595 of the family's 1831-position model. Lineage: Eukaryota; Viridiplantae; Streptophyta; Magnoliopsida; Caryophyllales; Amaranthaceae. The record is from RNAcentral.